RNAcentral lists this ribosomal RNA (454 nucleotides) under uncultured delta proteobacterium. Its description in RNAcentral is "bacterial SSU rRNA". It matches the Rfam family "Bacterial small subunit ribosomal RNA", at positions 1077 to 1533 of the family's 1533-position model. The record is from RNAcentral. Lineage: Bacteria; Deltaproteobacteria.
UGGGUAGUCCGCACGAGCGCACCCUGUCCUUAGUUGCCAGCACAUAAUGGUGGGGACUCUAAGGAGACUGCCUGGGAUAACCAGGAGGAAGGUGGGGAUGAUGUCAAGUCAGUAUGUCCCUUAUGUCCAGGGCUACACACGUGUUACAAUGGCCGGUACAAUGGGCUGCAAUCCCGCGAGGGCAAGCUAAUCCCAAAAAACCGGCCCCAGUUCAGAUUGGAGUCUGCAACUCGACUCCAUGAAGGAGGAAUCGCUAGUAAUCGCGCAUCAGCACGGCACGGUGAAUACGUUCCCGGGUCUUGUACACACCGCCCGUCACGCCAUGGAAGUCAGCAGUACCCGAAGCCGGUGGCCUAACCUUCGGGAGGGAGCCGUCUAAGGUAAGGCUGGUAACUGGGGCGAAGUCGUAACAAGGUAGCCGUACCGGAAGGUGCGGCUGGAUCACCUCCUUUCU